Molecule: ribosomal RNA, 201 nt
Filed under: uncultured Acidimicrobiales bacterium
Lineage: Bacteria; Bacillati; Actinomycetota; Acidimicrobiia; Acidimicrobiales
Description: partial 16S ribosomal RNA
Rfam family: Bacterial small subunit ribosomal RNA
Source: RNAcentral
ACACGUAGGGACCAAGCGUUGUCCGGAUUUAUUGGGCGUAAAGAGCUCGUAGGCGGUUCUGUAAGUCGGAUGUGAAAACUCAGGGCUCAACCCUGAGACGCCAUCUGAUACUGCAGUGACUAGAGUCCGGUAGAGGAAGAUGGAAUUCCUGGUGUAGCGGUGGAAUGCGCAGAUAUCAGGAGGAACACCAACGGCGAAGGC